GACGAACCGUGCGAACGUUGUUCGGAAUCACUGGGCCUAAAGGGCGCGUAGGCGGGCCGGACGGUCCGGAGUGAAAUCCCCCCGCUCAACGGGGGAACGGCUCCGGAUACCGCCGGCCUCGAGGGGGGUAGGGGCGAGCGGAACGCUGGGUGGAGCGGUGAAAUGCGUUGAUAUCGGGAGGAACACCAGUGGCGAAAGCGGCUACCUGGCCCACUCUUGACGCUGAGGCGCGAAAGCUAGGGGAGCAAACGGG
This 253-nucleotide ribosomal RNA is filed under the name uncultured bacterium. Its description in RNAcentral is "partial 16S ribosomal RNA". It matches the Rfam family "Bacterial small subunit ribosomal RNA", at positions 524 to 776 of the family's 1533-position model. The record is from RNAcentral.